This 247-nucleotide ribosomal RNA is filed under the name uncultured bacterium. RNAcentral describes it as "partial 16S ribosomal RNA". It matches the Rfam family "Bacterial small subunit ribosomal RNA", at positions 15 to 252 of the family's 1533-position model. The record is from RNAcentral.
GGUCAUGGCUCAGGAUGAACGCUAGCGGCAGGCCUAACACAUGCAAGUCGAGGGGCGAUCGGGAGUUGAAGCUUGCUUCAAUUGCCGGCGACCGGCGCACGGGUGCGUAACGCGUAUGUAACCUACCUAUAACAGGGGCAUAACACUGAGAAAUUGGUACUAAUUCCCCAUAAUAUUCGGAGAGGCAUCUCUCCGGGUUGAAAACUCCGGUGGUUAUAGAUGGACAUGCGUUGUAUUAGCUAGUUGG